Molecule: ribosomal RNA, 467 nt
Filed under: uncultured bacterium
Lineage: Bacteria
Description: partial 16S ribosomal RNA
Rfam family: Bacterial small subunit ribosomal RNA
Source: RNAcentral
GACGAACGCUGGCGGCGUGCUUAACACAUGCAAGUCGAACGGAAAGGCCCUGCUUUUGUGGGGUGCUCGAGUGGCGAACGGGUGAGUCACACGUGAGUAACCUGCCCUUGACUUUGGGAUAACUUCAGGAAACUGGGGCUAAUACCGGAUAGGAGCUCCUGCUGCAUGGUGGGGGUUGGAAAGUUUCGGCGGUUGGGGAUGGACUCGCGGCUUAUCAGCUUGUUGGUGGGGUAGUGGCUUACCAAGGCUUUGACGGGUAGCCGGCCUGAGAGGGUGACCGGCCACAGGGGGACGGAGAUACGGCCCAGACCCAUACGGGAGGCAGCAGUGGGGAAUAUUGCACAAUGGGCGGAAGCGUGAUGCAGCAACGCCGCGUGCGGGAUGACGGCCUUCGGGUUGUAAACCGCUUUCGCCUGUGACGAAGCGUGGGUGACGGUAAUGGGGAAAGAAGCACCGGCUAACUACGU